Molecule: long non-coding RNA, 688 nt
Organism: Hyla sarda
Lineage: Eukaryota; Metazoa; Chordata; Amphibia; Anura; Hylidae
Exons: 3
Source: RefSeq, a predicted model, not a curated record
CAGCUGCUCUGAACUUCGCCUCCUGUCAUAACAACACGUCACCACUGAGGCUCCCGGCAGGACCCGGAUACGGUGACGUCAAUAGGUGGCGACAACCCGGAAGUAGGCGUGGCCACAGGUGACCGUUAUCAGCCUACAGUCCGGAUCAUUAACACCGUCGGCGCCCGAACACGACAGGAGCCCUUCUAUAUCUACACAAUUCUCUCUCUAUGGUCGGAGCUGACGCGGCCCGCAGUGCAUGUCGGAUAUUGUAGUUUUAUAUCUCUGCCAGGACUCGCUGUAUAAUAGGUGGAGCUGCCUUGUGUGUCUUCACAGAACUACAGGGACUGUGCGACGAAAGACACGGAAAGCCUCGAGCGAGCCUCCAGGACGGAGAUUACAACCAUUAUAUCUGUCAUAUGAUCUCCGGGUAAACAGUAUGAAGAGCUGACACUACCAACCUGCCAGAAGAAGUGAAGGCUAAAUAUAUCCCUCUCCGGAGAACAUCAUGAAGUCCUCUGAUCAGACAGGAAACCGCACGGCACGCCACAAACCAUCACGCGGUAUCACCGCUAAUAAUAGCGUUCCGCACUGUGCACCCACCGCACCAUCGGUGCCUCACACAUCACUAGUGACCUUCAUCUUAUCAACACCCAACAUGUGGACGGUUCCCACCACAAAAGAAAUAGAAGCUUUCUAACAUGAAUGU